UAGGGAAUCUUCGGCAAUGGGGGGAACCCUGACCGAGCAACGCCGCGUGAGUGAAGAAGGUUUUCGGAUCGUAAAGCUCUGUUGUUAAGGAAGAACGAGUGUGAGAAUGGAAAGUUCAUGCUGUGACGGUACUUAACCAGAAAGGGACGGCUAACUACGUGCCAGCAGCCGCGGUAAUACGUAGGUCCCGAGCGUUGUCCGGAUUUAUUGGGCGUAAAGCGAGCGCAGGCGGUCAAUUAAGUCUGAUGUGAAAGCCCCCGGCUCAACCGGGGAGGGUCAUUGGAAACUGGUUGACUUGAGUGCAGAAGAGGAGAGUGGAAUUCCAUGUGUAGCGGUGAAAUGCGUAGAUAUAUGGAGGAACACCAGUGGCUAAGGCGACUCUCUGGUCUGUAACUGACGCUGAGGCUCGAAAGCGUGGGGAGCGAACAGG
This 430-nucleotide ribosomal RNA is filed under the name Bacteroidota bacterium. Its description in RNAcentral is "Bacteroidetes bacterium partial 16S ribosomal RNA". It matches the Rfam family "Bacterial small subunit ribosomal RNA", at positions 355 to 776 of the family's 1533-position model. The record is from RNAcentral. Lineage: Bacteria; Pseudomonadati; Bacteroidota.